UACGUAGGCAGCGAGCGUUGUUCGGAAUUACUGGGCGUAAAGAGUGCGUAGGCGGUGCUCUAAGUCUGUUGUGAAAUCUCCCGGCUCAACUGGGAGGGUGCGGCGGAAACUAGAGUGCUAGAGUGUGGGAGAGGUGAGUGGAAUUCCACGUGUAGCAGUGAAAUGCGUAGAGAUGUGGAGGAACACCGAUGGCGAAGGCAGCCUCCUGGGCCAGCACUGACGCUCAUGCACGAAAGCGUGGGGAGCAAACAGG
This 253-nucleotide ribosomal RNA is filed under the name uncultured bacterium. Its description in RNAcentral is "partial 16S ribosomal RNA". It matches the Rfam family "Bacterial small subunit ribosomal RNA", at positions 524 to 776 of the family's 1533-position model. The record is from RNAcentral.